This 715-nucleotide ribosomal RNA is filed under the name Microbacterium sp. RNAcentral describes it as "bacterial SSU rRNA". It matches the Rfam family "Bacterial small subunit ribosomal RNA", at positions 104 to 833 of the family's 1533-position model. Lineage: Bacteria; Bacillati; Actinomycetota; Actinomycetes; Micrococcales; Microbacteriaceae. The record is from RNAcentral.
GGGUGAGUAACACGUGAGCAAUCUGCCCUUGACUCUGGGAUAAGCGCUGGAAACGGCGUCUAAUACUGGAUACGAGCUGCGAAGGCAUCUUCAGCAGCUGGAAAGAACUUCGGUCAAGGAUGAGCUCGCGGCCUAUCAGCUUGUUGGUGAGGUAAUGGCUCACCAAGGCGUCGACGGGUAGCCGGCCUGAGAGGGUGACCGGCCACACUGGGACUGAGACACGGCCCAGACUCCUACGGGAGGCAGCAGUGGGGAAUAUUGCACAAUGGGCGCAAGCCUGAUGCAGCAACGCCGCGUGAGGGACGACGGCCUUCGGGUUGUAAACCUCUUUUAGCAGGGAAGAAGCGAAAGUGACGGUACCUGCAGAAAAAGCACCGGCUAACUACGUGCCAGCAGCCGCGGUAAUACGUAGGGUGCAAGCGUUAUCCGGAAUUAUUGGGCGUAAAGAGCUCGUAGGCGGUUUGUCGCGUCUGCUGUGAAAUCUGGGGGCUCAACCCCCAGCCUGCAGUGGGUACGGGCAGACUAGAGUGCGGUAGGGGAGAUUGGAAUUCCUGGUGUAGCGGUGGAAUGCGCAGAUAUCAGGAGGAACACCGAUGGCGAAGGCAGAUCUCUGGGCCGUAACUGACGCUGAGGAGCGAAAGGGUGGGGAGCAAACAGGCUUAGAUACCCUGGUAGUCCACCCCGUAAACGUUGGGAACUAGUUGUGGGGUCCAUU